This is a non-coding RNA of Leptonychotes weddellii (Weddell seal), 2971 nucleotides long. NCBI's taxonomy places the organism in Eukaryota, Metazoa, Chordata, Mammalia, Carnivora, Phocidae. The record is from RefSeq and is a predicted model, not a curated record.
GUUCAAAAUUGAAAAUAACAUUUAGCUAUUCGUUUAAUGUUGAUAAUAAACCAGUGUUAACAUAAAGGACGUUCUCCAUGAACAGUAUUUCCCCAACAACAACAGUGAGGAGAACGGCCCUUUAUCUUGUCGCAGACCUCUUUACUGUCUGGAUUCAUGGACCUAUCUGCUCUGCACUCAGGCUCUUGCAGUACAUUGUUUUGGUUGAAGUGUAUGAAGAAAAUCCAGUUUUGUAUGGAGCUGAUAAAAGGAGAGGAGUAUUUUAAUAGCCUUUUCAGAUCAUUGUGGAUAUUCUUCUUUGACACUGCAUUGACCUACCACAAGGGGUAACUCCCUGAAGGCUGGAUGCAGUGUGAAGUCUGAACCCUUCCCGGGGAGCCUUCCUGCCGUGCUGCCCAGGGCUCUCGCACCUGCAUGGAGAAGGCCUUUUGCCCAGUCACGAUUCUGUGACCCGCUCUGCUCACUUGGAAAAUAUUGAUUUGCAUAGAUCUUCCAAAUGUCAACAAUAUCGAGAAAACAAGCAUUAAUAUCAUCCCUGAUCUCAUCAGAGAGGUCUUCAGUUUUUGAAGCUGUCAAGCUCUGGAUGGCUGUUGGAAGUUUUUCCAAAAUUUUAGUUUUGCUUAAGAGCUCACAUUUUAUCUUUGACAACAUUGAUAAAUUUCCUUGCAGUGACAGGUUCACUUUAUUCAGUUUUGAGAAAAUGUCUCGGUCUGAAUAGCUUGAGUUAGUCAUUCUUUCAGGGGAACGUGGGGGUUGAAUGGAGAGGUGCCCAGUUCCCCUCCUAGGUCAAGCAGCUCCACCAUGUGCAUGUCCGCUUUUUGUGCCGGGAGCACCUGGUGCUCAGGAGUGACCGCCUGCCGCAGCCGCCCUGGUUGGUGCCAAGGUCACGGUCGUCCCAGGCCCUGGCUUUGCUGCCAUCCGUCUGGUCUCAGCCCUGGGAAGAAGGCAGGUCACUCCUGAGUGACAGCUGUGUUGUCGUGAAGAUCAUUUUGACCCUGAGGACUCGGGGGGUCUGCGGACCACACUUGAGAGCCGCUGUGCUGCGCAGCUGGGUCAGCAUGGCCAAGUGUUGGACCGCAGCCGGGCCUGCUGGGCAGCGCGUGGGGGGUCCUGGAACCUCGCAGAAGUCCGCCGUCCACAGCGAGCCUGCUGCAGCCGGGCUUUCGCCUGAAUUCCACUCCUUAUGAUGCCUUCACCGAGGAAGCUGUGUGCCGUGUCCUGAGUGUGAGAGUGGGGGUGAUUGGUGGUCUCAGUCCCCACCACCCCCGCCCCCAGUAAGACACACGGUGCUCUGUGGCUCCCGGCUCCUCACCCUUUAUCUGCUUUCAUGUAGGAAACACGUACCUGUUUGAACUUAACGUAAAUAGUGAUGCAGGAAAGAGAACAGAAAUGUUAAAGUCUCAGGAAAAGUGAACGUUUCACUGAAGGCUGUUGGCACUUUGGUUUACUGUGUCCUCCAGGUCGUUUAGGCCAGCUGGGCUUGAAGGAAGGCUUCCCGUCCGCCGUGAAGAAUAUUAGCUCCGUCAUUGGUAUGUUCAUCCAGCAUGCGCAGGACGAAGAUAUCCCGUGGGGCAUCCAGCUGGCCGCCGUGUACGCGCUCUGUGAUUUGAGUCCCAGCAAUCCAGCGGAAAUAUCCAAGAUCCUGGAGGCCUGGCGCCAAGAAACCGCGCACAGCGUGCCUUCCGCGGUGCUCAGCUGCCUGGAGGAGGUCAGCUCGCUGUGCGCGGAGGAGGUCGGCUAAGCUGCCCCGCGCCGCUGCGUCUAGAGAAGUGCCUUUACAUAUCUCAAGUAUGAAUAGAUGAGUCAGCUUGGCGGAGCACAAACUGAGUUUCAAAAGGAAAGCCGGAGAAGAGAGAGAAUGCCCAGAGGCUCUGGUCACCGUGGCGAGGAGACAGAAGCCAGCCAUGGCAGGGCUGCCUUUCCCCAAACCGCAUACAUUUCACUUAAGGCUGUUGUGAUUCCAUGACAUGUGGGUUGUAUUAUUGUGUCUUGGUCAAACAACAAAAACUUGAACUUAGCCCUUUUUUGCUGCAGAAAGUGUCCUUUUAGUCGCUUUUUAAAAUUGAGUGGCAUUUUAUAAUGAAUUUAAUAUAAAAGCAUUGAUUUGGUUCCUGAGCUAAUUUUGGACUUUGCGCUGAAAUGAUCGACUAGGGAAAAAUAAAUCGGCUAAGAAAGAGCUAGAAGACUCUUCCACUGUCUUAGCUGGAAAUGGGCUACAAAAUUGUUUCUCAAGGUAGAGUGCGCAACUGGUCAGAGGAGAACCUGGGAGAGCCUUAGAGACCCGCUCUAGUGCAUCUUCUUCCUGUCUCUGCAGGUCCUUAAAACUGUCACUGUAUCAGGACAAGGAGGGCUGAAGAGUAGAAGUUCACUUGCAGGGUUUCUGUCAGCGACGUGUAUAUAGACGAUUCAGAGACGCGUGCAGGCAGGUCUCUGUGCGUGCCGUGUAUAUAUGGACCGUGCUAUAAUGUGUUUCACAUUUGAUGAUAUUCCACUUUCGGAAUUUUAGUAUUUGUACAUAGAAAAUGGGUUUAAUAACUCACCGUGGUUCUGAUUUGUCAUAUAUUCAUCAUUUCUUAAAACUCUUGUAUGUGUUUUUUAUAAUAAAAAAUAAAAGUAAGCCAUGCACACGAUUGUUCUGAUCAGUGAAGAGUGACACUGGGUAUUACAUCUACUCUUACCAAAGAUGGAAAAUUCUCCACUCUAACCAAAGAUAAAAUGGCCAUCCCAAAUGAUAGAAAUAUGCUACAUUGCCAUUGUCCGGCAGGUUUCUCCAAGAUGCUCUUAGCGACAUUGGACACCAUAUAAUUACGUACUGAUUAGCCCUCAUGAUUGGAUUUGUUUACUUACAAAUAUUGCUGCCCUUUAAAAAAUUAUAUCUGAUGACUAUUUUGUUACUCCUGCCUCGUAUUUUUAAAGUAAUUAUAACAGACAUAAUUGGUUUUUAUAAAUAACUCUGCAUUGCCCUUUGGAA